GGGAUGGGCCCGCGUCUGAUUAGGCAGUUGGCGGGGUAACGGCCCACCAAACCGACGAUCAGUAGCCGGCCUGAGAGGGCAACCGGCCACAUUGGGACUGAGACACGGCCCAAACUCCUACGGGAGGCAGCAGUGGGGAAUAUUGCACAAUGGGGGGAACCCUGAUGCAGCGACGCCGCGUGGGUGAAGGAGUAUUUCGGUAUGUAAAGCCCUAUCAGCAGGGAAGAACAAUGACGGUACCUGACUAAGAAGCACCGGCUAAAUACGUGCCAGCAGCCGCGGUAAUACGUAUGGUGCAAGCGUUAUCCGGAUUUACUGGGUGUAAAGGGAGCGCAGGCGGCGCGUUAAGCCUGGUGUGAAAGCCCGCGGCCCAACCGCGGGACUGCAUUGGGAACUGGCGCGCUGGAGUGCCGGAGGGGUAGGCGGAAUUCCUAGUGUAGCGGUGAAAUGCGUAGAUAUUAGGAGGAACACCAGUGGCGAAGGCGGCCUACUGGACGGUGACUGACGCUGAGGCUCGAAAGCGUGGGGAGCAAACAGGAUUAGAUACCCUGGUAGUCCACGCCGUAAAC
This 569-nucleotide ribosomal RNA is filed under the name uncultured bacterium. RNAcentral's name for it is "bacterial SSU rRNA". It matches the Rfam family "Bacterial small subunit ribosomal RNA", at positions 222 to 807 of the family's 1533-position model. The record is from RNAcentral.